UAAACUCCGAAUGCCGGUAAUUUAGCUGUGGAGAAAGGGCGAGGGUGCUAAGGUCCUCGCCCGAGAGGAGAAGAAUCCGGACCGCCGGCUAAGGCCCCGGAGUGCAUGUUAAGUUAGUCUAACGAAGUACGGCCCCCGUGACAGCUAGGAUGUUGGCUUGGAAGCAGCCAUUCAUUCAAAGAGUGCGUAACAGCUCACUAGUCGAGGGUCUGUGCGUGGAUAAUAAUCGGGUAUUAAACAUGCCGCCGAAGCCGCGGGAUUGCACUUUUUAAUGGUGUAAUCGGUAGGGGAGCAUUCCAUGUGCGUUGAAUGGAUUCCGUAAGGGGUGCUGGAGCGUAUGGAAAAGCAAAUGUAGGUAUAAGUAACGAUAAAGAGGGUGAGAUGCCCUCUCGCCGAAAGACUAAGGUUUCCUGGGCGACGUUAAUCGUCCCAGGGUCAGUCGGGUCCUAAGGAUAAGCCUAAUGGCGAGGCCGAACGGAUGAAACGGUUAAUAUUCCGUUACUAUCUGCGUCGAGCGACGCGGUGACGGGGCGGUGACACUUCCGCGCCCUUACGAAUCAGGGCGUUGAACGGCAAAGGUGUAGAUUGCGGUAGUGAAGUACGCCGCGAGAGCCGAAGCCGGAAAGUACGCGAGUCCUCCGGGAUGAGCGAUAGUGAAGGUAAUAGCCUCCGAGAAAACCCGCUAAGCAUUAUGAUGGUGCAGAUACCCGUACCGUAAACGGACACACGUAGUUGGGUAGAAAAUACUAAGGCGUAGGGAGAUUCACGGUUAAGGAACUAGGCAAAAUAGCCCUGUAACUUCGGGAGAAAGGGUCCUGUUAUGAGCGAGGCGCAGUGAAAAGGUCCAGGCAACUGUUUACCAAAAACACAGGGCUGUGCGAAGUGUAAUUACUCAGUAUACAGCCUGACACCUGCCCGGUGCCGGAAGGUUAAGAGGAGGGCUUAUCAGCAAUGAGAAGGUCUGAAUUGAAGCCCCGGUAAACGGCGGCCGUAACUAUAACGGUCCUAAGGUAGCGAAAUUCCUUGUCGGGUAAGUUCCGACCUGCACGAAUGGUGUAAUGAUCCGGACACUGUCUCAACCGUGAUCCCUGUGAAAUUGAAGUAUCGGUGAAGAUGCCGAUUACCCGCGAUGGGACGAAAAGACCCCGUGAACCUUUACUAUAGCUUAGCGUUGGAACUGGGCAAUUGAUGUGUAGGAUAGGCCGGAGGCAAUGAAGCGUGCGCGCCAGCGUAUGUGGAGCCGCCGUUGAAAUACGGCCCUUUGGCUGUUUGAGGUUCCUAACUUGCAAGUGCAAGGACCGCGCUUGGUGGGUAGUUUGACUGGGGUGGUCGCCUCCAAAAGCGUAACGGAGGCUUCUAAAGGUACCCUCAGGCCGAUUGGUAACCGGCCAUGGAGUGUAAUGGCAAAAGGGUGCUUGACUGGGAGGCGGACGUGCCGAGCAGGUAGGAAACUAGAGCAUAGUGAUCCGGUGGUUCCGCAU
RNAcentral lists this ribosomal RNA (1481 nucleotides) under human gut metagenome. RNAcentral describes it as "bacterial LSU rRNA". It matches the Rfam family "Bacterial large subunit ribosomal RNA", at positions 950 to 2434 of the family's 2925-position model. The record is from RNAcentral.